RNAcentral lists this ribosomal RNA (253 nucleotides) under uncultured bacterium. RNAcentral describes it as "partial 16S ribosomal RNA". It matches the Rfam family "Bacterial small subunit ribosomal RNA", at positions 524 to 776 of the family's 1533-position model. The record is from RNAcentral.
UACGGAGGGUGCGAGCGUUGUCCGGAAUCACUGGGCGUAAAGGGCGCGUAGGCGGCCUGAUAAGUAGGGGGUGAAAUCCUGCGGCUUAACCGCAGGGCUGCCUUCUAAACUGUCAGGCUCGAGCACAGUAGAGGCAGGUGGAACUCCUGGUGUAGCGGUGGAAUGCGCAGAUAUCAGGAAGAACACCAACGGCGAAGGCGACCACCUGGACUGAUACUGACACUGAGGUGCGAAAGCGUGGGGAGCAAACAGG